CACCUCACGUCGGCGGUCGGAGGGGCUCCGGGGUCGUUAACGGCUCGGUUAAAGCCUCCCCGCUGUCCUGCGGGUGCUGUGUGCCGGUGCGCUGAGGAGAGGGCUCGCUGGUGGAAGGUGCCUGUGUAACAUAAUGGUAUCCAGCAACAGGGUGAUGUGAAGCCCCUGACUAGAAAGAGAAGCAAAAAUGAAUAGAGUCUUGCUACACAGGCUGGAAAUGCAACAGGACAUUUGGUACACUACAGAGACAGAAGAGGAGUACUGUACCUCAGGAUCUUCCACCAGAGUCACAACUCUUCCAGGCUACAAUGAAAG
This is a long non-coding RNA of Neopsephotus bourkii (Bourke's parrot), 315 nucleotides long. RefSeq lists it as uncharacterized. The transcript has 3 exons. The record is from RefSeq and is a predicted model, not a curated record. Lineage: Eukaryota; Metazoa; Chordata; Aves; Psittaciformes; Psittacidae.